Molecule: unclassified non-coding RNA, 342 nt
Filed under: soil metagenome
Description: partial contains 5.8S ribosomal RNA, internal transcribed spacer 2, and large subunit ribosomal RNA
Rfam family: 5.8S ribosomal RNA (bases 1-120)
Source: RNAcentral
GAUGAAGAACGUAGCGAAAUGCGAUAAGUAAUGUGAAUUGCAGAAUUCAGUGAAUCAUCGAAUCUUUGAACGCACAUUGCGCCCGCUAGUAUUCUGGCGGGCAUGCCUGUCCGAGCGUCAUUUCAACCCUCAAGCCCCCGGGCUUGGUGUUGGGGAUCGGCGAGCCUCCGCGCCCGCCGUCCCCUAAAUCUAGUGGCGGUCUCGCUGUAGCUUCCUCUGCGUAGUAGCACACCUCGCACUGGGAAACAGCGCGGCCACGCCGUAAAACACCCAACUUCUGAAUGUUGACCUCGAAUCAGGUAGGAAUACCCGCUGAACUUAAGCAUAUCAAUAAGCGGAGGA